AACGAACGCUGGCGGCGCGCCUAAUACAUGCAAGUCGAGCGAGAAGACGUAGCAAUACGUUUGUAAAGCGGCGAACGGGUGAGGAAUACAUGGGUAACCUACCCUCGAGUGGGGAAUAACUAGCCGAAAGGUUAGCUAAUACCGCGUACGCUCCUUGGACUUCGGUUCAGGGAGGAAAGCGAUACCGUGGGUAUCGCGCUCUUGGAUGGGCUCAUGUCCUAUCAGCUUGUUGGUGAGGUAACGGCUCACCAAGGCUUCGACGGGUAGCUGGUCUGAGAGGACGAUCAGCCACACUGGCACUGCGACACGGGCCAGACUCCUACGGGAGGCAGCAGUAAGGAAUAUUGCGCAAUGGGCGAAAGCCUGACGCAGCGACGCCGCGUGAGGGAUGACGGCCU
RNAcentral lists this ribosomal RNA (398 nucleotides) under uncultured bacterium. RNAcentral's name for it is "bacterial SSU rRNA". It matches the Rfam family "Bacterial small subunit ribosomal RNA", at positions 29 to 417 of the family's 1533-position model. The record is from RNAcentral.